UCCAAGCCGCCCGAGGGCUUCUGGGAGGGAAAGGACCAGGGGGCCCAACCCCGCUUACGGACUCCGUAGUUCCCGGUGUGCCCGCCGCACUGCCUGCUGGGGCUUGAAGUCCACACCACCCAGACACGAGAGCUCUGCUCCAAAUUUAAGAAUUAUAUGCUGGAGACGUGGGAUUCGGUAAAGAUGCUGAAAAAAUACCGAAGUGUGUAUCCAAGGAACUCUGUGGAACUUGGGUGCUUCAUGCCCUCCUGAUUUGAAGAAUAAAAUCCUUGGACAACAACAGAAGGCAAGAGUAAAGAGGAGGGGAUCUGAUAGCAGGAACCCCCAUUUUUUUGAGGCUUAUAUGGUUUAUUAAUAUGAUCAUUGACCAAAAUCUGUUAUAUAGACUUUGAAAUGGUACCAAAACCAUUGGUCAAAAUCUGUGUUAAACAGGUAUUGAGAAAGUAUCAAGGAUAUUGACUGUACUUUAGCUGUCUGAGUUUGAAUAAUUUUUUGUCACUUUUUGUGGGGUGGGUACUGGGGACUGAACUCAGGGGCACUGACCACUGAGCCACAUCUCCACCUAGGGGUCUUUUUGUCACUUUCUUCUGGGUUUAGCCCCACCUUCUAUUUUCCCAGAUUCAUACCCACCAGUAAGCUUUAUGGUCUUUACAUUUGAAAGAGGCCCUGAUGGGGCCCAAUAAUGUUUCCAGCAGUUAGAUUCUAGGUGUGAUCCUUACAUAUGAACAAGAUCUUAAUUGAAUCUCAUUACUGGGAUUGCCUCACAGUUUAUGAUCUAUUCUUAUUCAUUAUUGUGUCAGUUUUACAGAUGAAUAAACUGAGGCUUCAGGAGGUUACGUGACUUGCCCAGGAUAUUACAAGUCCAUGUCUGAGUCAGACUUGAAUUUUUUUUUUAAUUGUUUGGUGCUGGGAAUUGAACCCAGGGCUUCAAGUAUGCUAAGCACAUGCUCUACUGCUGAGCUACAUUCCCAGCCCUGAAUCAGAUUUUAAGUCCAGACUUAUUUGAUAUUAAUGAAAUACAAGGACAAAAGAUUAGUUUAGUUUUAACUAUCUUGAACUUCAGAUAAAUAAACCACACACUUAUAGGUACUCUGUGUCUAGUUCCUUUUGUAUGACAGCCUUUUGGAGAUUUGUCCACGUUAUUCCUUUUUAUAGCUGAGUAUGAAAAUCCACAAUUUAAUUAUCCAUCCUCUUGUUGCUAGACGUUUGGAUUGUUGCCAGUUUGAGACAAUUAGGAACAAGUCUGCUAUGAACACUCUUGUUCAAGUUUAAAGAAAAAACAAAA
This is a long non-coding RNA of Sciurus carolinensis (gray squirrel), 1285 nucleotides long. RefSeq lists it as uncharacterized. The record is from RefSeq and is a predicted model, not a curated record. NCBI's taxonomy places the organism in Eukaryota, Metazoa, Chordata, Mammalia, Rodentia, Sciuridae. The transcript has 3 exons.